Molecule: ribosomal RNA, 775 nt
Filed under: uncultured Cellulomonas sp.
Lineage: Bacteria; Bacillati; Actinomycetota; Actinomycetes; Micrococcales; Cellulomonadaceae
Description: bacterial SSU rRNA
Rfam family: Bacterial small subunit ribosomal RNA
Source: RNAcentral
AGAGUUUGAUCAUGGCUCAGGACGAACGCUGGCGGCGUGCUUAACACAUGCAAGUCGAACGGAUCUUGGGGGCUUGCCUCCGAGGUUAGUGGCGAACGGGUGAGUAACACGUGAGUAACCUGCCCCUGACUCUGGGAUAACUGCUGGAAACGGUGGCUAAUACCGGAUAUGAGACCUUGCCGCAUGGUGGGGUUUGGAAAGAUUUUUUGGUUGGGGAUGGACUCGCGGCCUAUCAGCUUGUUGGUGGGGUAAUGGCUCACCAAGGCGACGACGGGUAGCCGGCCUGAGAGGGCGACCGGCCACACUGGGACUGAGACACGGCCCAGACUCCUACGGGAGGCAGCAGUGGGGAAUAUUGCACAAUGGGCGCAAGCCUGAUGCAGCGACGCCGCGUGAGGGAUGAAGGCCUUCGGGUUGUAAACCUCUUUCAGCAGGGAAGAAGCGUGAGUGACGGUACCUGCAGAAGAAGCGCCGGCUAACUACGUGCCAGCAGCCGCGGUAAUACGUAGGGCGCAAGCGUUGUCCGGAAUUAUUGGGCGUAAAGAGCUCGUAGGCGGUUUGUCGCGUCUGCUGUGAAAACCUAAGGCUCAACCUUGGGCUUGCAGUGGGUACGGGCAGACUAGAGUGCGGUAGGGGUGACUGGAAUUCCUGGUGUAGCGGUGGAAUGCGCAGAUAUCAGGAGGAACACCGAUGGCGAAGGCAGGUCACUGGGCCGCAACUGACGCUGAGGAGCGAAAGCAUGGGGAGCGAACAGGAUUAGAUACCCCAGUAGUCC